This 561-nucleotide ribosomal RNA is filed under the name uncultured bacterium. RNAcentral describes it as "bacterial SSU rRNA". It matches the Rfam family "Bacterial small subunit ribosomal RNA", at positions 338 to 916 of the family's 1533-position model. The record is from RNAcentral.
CCUACGGGAGGCAGCAGUGGGGAAUAUUGGACAAUGGGCGAAAGCCUGAUCCAGCAAUGCCGCGUGAGUGAUGAAGGCCUUAGGGUUGUAAAGCUCUUUUACCAGGGAUGAUAAUGACAGUACCUGGAGAAUAAGCUCCGGCUAACUCCGUGCCAGCAGCCGCGGUAAUACGGAGGGAGCUAGCGUUGUUCGGAAUUACUGGGCGUAAAGCGUACGUAGGCGGUUAUUCAAGUCAGAGGUGAAAGCCUGGAGCUCAACUCCAGAACUGCCUUUGAAACUAGAUAGCUAGAAUCACGGAGAGGUUAGUGGAAUUCCGAGUGUAGAGGUGAAAUUCGUAGAUAUUCGGAAGAACACCAGUGGCGAAGGCGACUAACUGGACGUGUAUUGACGCUGAGGUACGAAAGCGUGGGGAGCAAACAGGAUUAGAUACCCUGGUAGUCCACGCCGUAAACGAUGAUAACUAGCUGUUCGGUCUCUACGAGACUGAGUGGCGCAGCUAACGCAUUAAGUUAUCCGCCUGGGGAGUACGGUCGCAAGAUUAAAACUUAAAGGAAUUGACGG